Molecule: long non-coding RNA, 682 nt
Organism: Propithecus coquereli (Coquerel's sifaka)
Lineage: Eukaryota; Metazoa; Chordata; Mammalia; Primates; Indriidae
Exons: 3
Source: RefSeq, a predicted model, not a curated record
UUGCAAAGGGAGGAAACUGAGGCACUGACAGGUCAGAGCGCCUUCGAGGGAGGAAGGCGGUGGCCUCCACGCUGCGGUCUCCUUAACUGCACCCUGGGAAGUCUGCACACUGCCUUUCUUUCCCCUGGUGGUCUAAUCUGGAGUCAGGUCCAGGCGCUAGCUCUACACUGGGCAACACCGGACCGGGAGCCAAGAGGAAAACAACAGGUUUCUAUAAUUCAUCAUUCACUCCUUUCUGAAGACCUCAAAUGAAAGUUUAGCAGCUCAGCGCCCCGGCCUCUCUCCAUUCUCUGCCCAAACACAUCGGCCUGUUUGUUCUCUUUCAUCCCUGCUCUUCCUGUUGCAUUCUGCCCGUUCAAUGGGGAAAGAGUGAAACCGGAUGGCUGGACCCAGUGCGGGGAAAUGACUUCAGAGCCACCUUUGUUUCCCCUCAUUCCUUUGAGCACACUUGGCCCCGCGUCUCUAUGAAAGGGCUUGUUUGAACCAUUUGGAACAUCCAGCGAGUGAAAGAUGCUGCAGCCAGAAUCGCUCACAUCUUUUCAGGCUGCCUGAGACUCUGGGUUAAACUGCCAAAUUUUUGCAACAAAACUAACCAUGACAUUGGACAUUGUGUUAUAAAUUAGCCACAGCCUUCCAAGCAAAUUGUCUCUUUUUAUUGUAUCAGUGUAAGCCUUUGGAACAU